GAUCACGAGUUCCAACGCGAAGCCCUGGCUGGUUGGACGGCAACCCUCUUCGUGGUGGGGUGCCCCAGGUGAAGAUCCGGCCGGGCACAACCGUGCGCCGGCAAGUACCGAGC
RNAcentral lists this non-coding RNA (113 nucleotides) under Crystallibacter crystallopoietes. RNAcentral describes it as "Arthrobacter crystallopoietes SAM-IV sequence". It matches the Rfam family "SAM (S-adenosyl methionine) riboswitch aptamer". From Rfam's summary of the family: SAM-IV is a mRNA element that regulates gene expression via direct sensing of S-adenosylmethionine (SAM or AdoMet). SAM-IV riboswitches share conserved nucleotide positions with the previously described SAM-I riboswitches sequence analysis and molecular recognition experiments suggest that SAM-I and SAM-IV riboswitches share similar ligand binding sites, but have different scaffolds. The record is from RNAcentral. Lineage: Bacteria; Bacillati; Actinomycetota; Actinomycetes; Micrococcales; Micrococcaceae. RNAcentral also lists the same sequence under 1 other name.